Molecule: ribosomal RNA, 301 nt
Filed under: uncultured Lactobacillus sp.
Lineage: Bacteria; Bacillati; Bacillota; Bacilli; Lactobacillales; Lactobacillaceae
Description: bacterial SSU rRNA
Rfam family: Bacterial small subunit ribosomal RNA
Source: RNAcentral
UUAAUUACGUGCCAGCGGCCGCGGUAAUACGUAGGGUCCGAGCGUUAUCCGGAGUGGCUGGGCGUAAAGAGUUGCGUAGGUGGUUUGUUAAGUAGAUAGUGAAAUCUGGCGGCUCAACCGUACAGGCUAUUAUCUAAACUGACAAACUCGAGAAUGGUAGAGGUAACUGGAAUUUCUUGUGUAGGAGUGAAAUCCGUAGAUAUAAGAAGGAACACCAAUGGCGUAGGCAGGUUACUGGACCAUUUCUGACACUGAGGCACGAAAGCGUGGGGAGCGAACCGGAUUAGAUACCCCUGUAGUC